Diceros bicornis minor is the source of this 2432-nucleotide long non-coding RNA. RefSeq lists it as uncharacterized. The transcript is spliced from 4 exons. The record is from RefSeq and is a predicted model, not a curated record. Lineage: Eukaryota; Metazoa; Chordata; Mammalia; Perissodactyla; Rhinocerotidae.
UCCUGGGGAGGAGGAAGAAGUCAAGAGUCACACCAGAUUGUACCACUCAAGAAUCAUUUGGUCCUUCCCUUGAUGCCUCUUUUUCAAAGCGUUAUGACAUCAAGUUGUUCCUUUUUUCUUGUUUAAUUGGGGCAGUUUUAACAGGGUCACUGGCUGCUGUCUUUGGAAUACGCUGAAGAGCGGCAGCAGGGAGACGAUGCAGGGAGAUGAGUUAGAAGGCUACGACAACAAUCCAGUGGCUGGCUCAGGAAUUGGCAUGGAUACUAUCCAGAUGUACGGAAUGCAAGGAGACACUUUCAGAGUCUUUUAGGAAAUUUCCUCCUUGCUUUUAUGGGAGAGCUUCCUGAAAUGAAUCUUUUCUACCAAAGAUUUCCAGCAUUUGAGCUGCACAGAUUUCAAGUUUGGAAGGACAAAGGAAUAAUCAGUCCCUGCUUGGAGAAUUAAACAAAUGGUUCCAAGUGGUCUGGGCUAACAAUGAGCAGUCACUCACUGCUACAAUAUUUCUGUGAAAAUGGCAAUUCCCUGCUUCCUCAAAUUCUCUGCAGUGGUAGACACAGGAACCAAAAUGAAAGUUCCCAUUUUGUAGAACUUGUGAGAUGAAAUUUAAGACUAAUGUAAUAAACCAGCAUUUGCAUGUUGACUAUAAAAUUAUUUACAAUAACUUAUAAUAUUGGUAAAUUGACAAUAACCAAAACCUCCAACAACAGGCAGUGGUUAAAGAAAUAAUAGCACCUUCCAACGUUUUUAGAAUUAGAAAUCCUCUUGAGUAGUUUUAAACGUAUUUUCAGCAAUUUUGACUGGCAUGUGCAAAAAAACUGAUUUUAAAUAAAAAAUAUUUUAAAUUUUUUGAUGAAUAUAUUAAAGAUUGUGUUAUAAAAUUUCUUCAAAAUACACUAGAUGCAAUCAGGUCUGGGAGAUUAUUACUUAAUAAAAAAUAGUCAAGCAGACAGGAAUCCUUAAGAAACAACACAUAUAUACCCUAAAUAUUUUAUUUUAAGUUAAAACAUUUACAUAUACUUUCAUUUGAAAAUACUUUGAUGUAACACCAAGGCAUGAUCGGAAUUCUUACGUAAACCACAUCCAUGAUGCAUUAUCUACAACUGCAGUUUUACUUUCCUUGGAGGGUGAAAUUUGUACAUUUUAUGAAAUGAUGUGAGUCUAGAACCUUCGAAGAUUUUUUUUACAAUGUUGUCUAUUCGUUUACAGACCACGGUUUUUUUUUAAAAAAAAAAGCUAGUAAAAAUUAAAUAUAAUAGUCUGUACAAGUGGUAUUAAUUGGUUUUAGAAUAAACAUAACUGAUUCUUGGUAAAUAUUCAACUCGAUGGUAGGGGGCAGGUGUACUUGGUCCUGCUAAAAAGUCGCCUUCUAGCCUUGAGCUGGCAGUUGAUUGUGGGCAGGGCUGGGUAUGCCUACAAGUGAAUGAAAGCUUAGGGCAAACUUGAGUGCCCCUCAGAACUGCCUGGAGGGCACGUUAAAACCCAGAACGCUGGUCCCACGAUCUGAUACAGAAGGUCUGGGGCGGGGCCUGAGAACUUGCAUUUAUUAUAAGUUCCCAGGUGAUGCUGAUGCUGCUGGUGGGGGCCACACUUUGAGAAUCACUGGAUUGGCCAAUACGGGGAGUUGGUAAAUAAUCCUCUGUUCAGUCUUUCUCCCCUUUAACAAGUGAGCACUGCUGUUUGUUUUAAACUAAGCAGGAAAAAGCACAAAUUGUUGUCAUAUACAUUUUUAGAUGAUAUAUUGUGUUUGGUUUAGGAAUUGAAUUGUGUUGGAGAGGAUAUUUACAUAUUAAUUACUAGCAAUUGAAUUAUCGCUUUCACGACCCUGAUGUUUAGAAUGAUUCAUUUUGUGCUUAAAAUAGCCCAUCACUUUAUUUUUAUGACUGUAAUUUCUUGUUACCAAAUGACAAGAGAAGAGGUGUCAGACCCUUCACUGCAAACACUUUUCCGUCAACAACACUUUGCAAAUGCGGUUAGCCUUUAUUCCUAAUCAAUGGGAAGUCAACUGGGAUAUAAGAUAAUUGUCACUCUUCUUUUCUCUUUAUCACGUGGGCUUUUGAAGCACAGUUGAGAUCUCAGUGUGCUGAAUAGAAACAGUAAUGAGAUGAAUUCAACUUCCUGAACAGAAGAGUCUGCAGGUGGAUUUGCAAAACUGGCCACAUCUGACCUUCAGUGUCUAUUUGCACACCCAGUCCUUCACCGAGGGGUAGUGACCAAGAAUAAAGACAAUGGAAGUGGCAUGCUGGGAAAGGGAGCAUGGCAGCUUCUGCCCUCCAAGGGGUUCAGACUGUUCUGCUUUAACAGGGAAAUGUUCAAGUUAUUUUACUUAUCAACAUUUUAAAAUCAGAAAUGGACAUGUUUGUUCUGUCUUGAACUAUGGGAACCCUAGAAACGUACUAGGGAAACUAAACAAUGUUACAUCAUUAAGAAUGAUA